Molecule: small RNA, 353 nt
Filed under: Histoplasma ohiense
Lineage: Eukaryota; Fungi; Ascomycota; Eurotiomycetes; Onygenales; Ajellomycetaceae
Description: hypothetical lncRNA
Source: RNAcentral
CGGCUGGUGUGCAUGCGGAAUUGAGAUUUGGGAUCUUCGGGGUUCUGCUUGCGCGCGUGAGAUACGGCGCCAAAUGCUACAGGAGGAUUUGUUUCCCUGUUUGAUCCCCGCUGAACAUGUUUCUUGCAGUGGAAGUGGCGGUAUUUCUUUCAGCAAACACUUUCCCGUGGGAGGUUUUUUUUAAGAAUCUUUGUACUCCGUUUAUCAUCUAGAUUGUCUCUACAGUUGAGCCUCGUGGGCCAUUGCAGGCAUUUCAUCGGCCCCGGUUGUUCUAUACGUCAAGACUCGGACCUAGUUCAGAAAGGGAGAUAGAGGUAUCUUCAAAGGGAAUCGAGGUCUGGUCUUAACUCUGU